This 169-nucleotide unclassified non-coding RNA is filed under the name uncultured Monacrosporium. Its description in RNAcentral is "sequence contains ITS2". The record is from RNAcentral. Lineage: Eukaryota; Fungi; Ascomycota; Orbiliomycetes; Orbiliales; Orbiliaceae.
CAACCCUCGGUCACCACCGGUUUUGAGCAAGCUGGGUCCUACGACCCGGCCGGCUUUAAAGUUGUAAGCUCUGCUGGCCGCUCAGCCCAACCAGAACAUAGUAAAACCUACUUGUUCACGGGUCGAGGUUGAAGCGGUACGGCCUGAACAAAACCUACCCAACUCUAAG